Molecule: ribosomal RNA, 369 nt
Filed under: uncultured Eubacteriales bacterium
Lineage: Bacteria; Bacillati; Bacillota; Clostridia; Eubacteriales
Description: bacterial SSU rRNA
Rfam family: Bacterial small subunit ribosomal RNA
Source: RNAcentral
AGGGGGCAAGCGUUAUCCGGAUUUACUGGGUGUAAAGGGAGCGUAGACGGUGCGCCAAGUCUGGAGUGAAAUGCCGCGGCUUAACCGCGGAACUGCUUUGGAAACUGGCGCGCUUGAGUGCGGGAGGGGUAAGCGGAAUUCCUAGUGUAGCGGUGAAAUGCGUAGAUAUUAGGAGGAACACCGGUGGCGAAGGCGGCUUACUGGACCGUAACUGACGUUGAGGCUCGAGAGCGUGGGGAGCAAACAGGAUUAGAUACCCUGGUAGUCCACGCCGUAAACGAUGAUGACUAGGUGUCGGGGGACCAAGGUCCUCCGGUGCCGCCGCAAACGCAUUAAGUAAUCCACCUGGGGAGUACGUUCGCAAGAAUG